Molecule: ribosomal RNA, 498 nt
Filed under: uncultured bacterium
Lineage: Bacteria
Description: partial 16S ribosomal RNA
Rfam family: Bacterial small subunit ribosomal RNA
Source: RNAcentral
GAUGAACGCUGGCGGCGUGCCUAAUACAUGCAAGUCGAGCGAACUAUUGGGAGCUUGCUCCCAAAAGUUAGCGGCGGACGGGUGAGUAACACGUGGGUAACCUGCCUGUAAGACUGGGAUAACUUCGGGAAACCGGAGCUAAUACAGGAUAACAUAGAAGAAAACAUGGCCUUCAAUUAAAAGAGGGCUAUUAGCUACCACUUACAGAUGGACCCGCGGCGCAUUAGCUAGUUGGUGAGGUAACGGCUCACCAAGGCGACGAUGCGUAGCCGGCCUGAGAGGGUGAUCGGCCACACUGGGACUGAGACACGGCCCAGACUCCUACGGGAGGCAGCAGUAGGGAAUCUUCCGCAAUGGACGAAAGUCUGACGGAGCAACGCCGCGUGAGCGAAGAAGGCCUUCGGGUCGUAAAGCUCUGUUGUUAGGGAAGAACAAGUAUCGUUCUAAUAGGGCGGUACCUUGACGGUACCUACCCAGAAAGCCACGGCUAACUACGUG